GACGAACGCUGGCGGCGUGCUUAACACAUGCAAGUCGAACGGAAAGACCCUGCUUUUGUGGGGUGCUCGAGUGGCGAACGGGUGAGUAACACGUGAGUAACCUGCCCUUGACUUUGGGAUAACUUCAGGAAACUGGGGCUAAUACCGGAUAGGAGCUCCUGCUGCAUGGGGGGGGUUGGAAAGUUUCGGCGGUUGGGGAUGGACUCGCGGCUUAUCAGCUUGUUGGUGGGGUAGUGGCUUACCAAGGCUUUGACGGGUAGCCGGCCUGAGAGGGUGACCGGCCACAUUGGGACUGCGGUACGGCCCAGACUCCUACGGGAGGCAGCAGUGGGGAAUAUUGCGCAAUGGGCGGAAGCCUGAUGCAGCAACGCCGCGUGCGGGAUGACGGCCUUCGGGUUGUAAACCGCUUUCGCCUGUGACGAAGCGUGAGUGACGGUAAUGGGUAAAAAAGCACCGGCUAACUACGUG
RNAcentral lists this ribosomal RNA (468 nucleotides) under uncultured bacterium. RNAcentral describes it as "partial 16S ribosomal RNA". It matches the Rfam family "Bacterial small subunit ribosomal RNA", at positions 28 to 507 of the family's 1533-position model. The record is from RNAcentral.